GAGUUUGAUCCUGGCUCAGAUUGAACGCUGGCGGCAUGCCUAACACAUGCAAGUCGAGCGGCAGCAGGUCCUUCGGGAUGCUGGCGAGCGGCGGACGGGUGAGUAACACGUGGGAAUCUGCCCAUCGGUGGGGGAUAGCCCGAGGAAACUCGGAUUAAUACCGCAUACGCCCUACGGGGCAAAGUAGACCUCUGAUUUAAGUUUACGCCGAUGGAUGAGCCCGCGGCCGAUUAGCUAGUUGGUGGGGUAAAGGCCUACCAAGGCAACGAUCGGUAGCUGGUCUGAGAGGACGAUCAGUCACACCGGAACUGAGACACGGUCCGGACUCCUACGGGAGGCAGCAGUGGGGAAUAUUGGACAAUGGGCGAAAGCCUGAUCCAGCAAUGCCGCGUGGGUGAAGAAGGCUUGAGGGUUGUAAAGCCCUUUCAGCAGGGAGGAAAAGCGUACGGUUAAUACCCGUGCGUCUUGACGUUACCUGCAGAAGAAGCACCGGCUAACUCCGUGCCAGCAGCCGCGGUAAU
This 521-nucleotide ribosomal RNA is filed under the name uncultured bacterium. Its description in RNAcentral is "bacterial SSU rRNA". It matches the Rfam family "Bacterial small subunit ribosomal RNA", at positions 9 to 524 of the family's 1533-position model. The record is from RNAcentral.